Molecule: ribosomal RNA, 497 nt
Filed under: uncultured bacterium
Lineage: Bacteria
Description: partial 16S ribosomal RNA
Rfam family: Bacterial small subunit ribosomal RNA
Source: RNAcentral
GAUGAACGCUGGCGGCGUGCCUAAUACAUGCAAGUCGAGCGAACAGACGAGGAGCUUGCUCCUCUGACGUUAGCGGCGGACGGGUGAGUAACACGUGGAUAACCUACCUAUAAGACUGGGAUAACUUCGGGAAACCGGAGCUAAUACCGGGUAAUAUAUUGAACCGCAUGGUUCAAUAGUGAAAGACGGUUUUGCUGUCACUUAUAGAUGGAUCCGCGCCGGAUUAGCUAGUUGGUAAGGUAACGGCUUACCAAGGCAACGAUGCGUAGCCGACCUGAGAGGGUGAUCGGCCACACUGGAACUGGGACACGGUCCAGACUCCUGCGGGAGGCAGCAGUAGGGAAUCUUCCGCAAUGGGCGAAAGCCUGACGGAGCAACGCCGCGUGAGUGAUGAAGGUCUUCGGAUCGUAAAACUCUGUUAUUAGGGAAGAACAAAUGUGUAAGUAACUAUGCACGUCUUGACGGUACCUAAUCAGAAAGCCACGGCUAACUACGUG